CUAACAGUUGGUGGCCUGGAAGGGCCAAAGGUGGAAGUUCAGGCAUGUAUCAUUGCCAGUGAAGGGAGCAAACAAAGGAAGGGGAGGAGCUGGAGAUAUAUCCCGUUGCUAGGCCGCUUUCCGGGCAGGAGGACAGCACAAAGAGAAAGGAAGAGGCUGACAGCAUGAACAGAGCCAACGCAGUUUCCCGGAGCAUCCUUCCCCAUCCUUAUUCAGAACCCAAACUGCCUGCCUGGCCCCUGAGCUGCUUGUUGGCUUUGCAGGUGAGUUGGGUUGCUGCAAGGUAGCACUGCAGCUGAGAAGAAUCACAUCCUGAAGAAAAGGGAACCGCCUUGCGAUAAGGGCCAUGACAGAUGUGCAAAGGUCCAGCAUCUGGUGGUUAGAUACAGGCAAAGUAUGAUUCCAGGCUCCUGGCUACUCAGCUUCAGCCAAGAGUCAAGGUUUGAGGGCUGACAGUGGGGUGAGAAUCACCUGGGUUAGAGAACUGAGGGCUGCUGUAUCCUGACGUGGACUGCUAGGGAUGGAUUAAAGGUGGAACUGUGGGUUUGGCUGAGAUGAAUGGCUGAGCAGGGGUGUCACUGGGGCUAGAAGCCUUGCUAAGAUUGUGGCUCUAUAGGUGCGUCAUGCCGACUUUUGGGCAAGGGUCUGUGGCUGGGUGCUGUUCAGGCUCACCACAGCCUGCUGUUCCUCCCCCCACCCCUCCCCACCAGCAUCUCCUGGUCCAGGUGUCUUUUCUCUGCAUCUUUCACUUUCUCUUCAUCACCACCCUCCCACAUGAAGAAGUGAGUGGGACGCCGCAUUGGGAUGAGCUUCUGGCACGCAACCUCUUUGCCUGUGGCAUUUCCACAGCCUUACAGUGCGGACUGGGGGCCAGGUUGCCAUUGGUUCAGGCUCCAUCAUUUGAGUUCCUCAUCCCAGCUAUAGUACUGACCCAACAUAUUGCUCCCAUUCACCAUUUGAAAGGAAACAGCACUGAAGUUCCUGAUGUAUGUGCUGGGCCAGACUGUGAAAACACAAGAAACUGGGACCAGUUAUUCUGUGAGGUCUCUGGCGCAGUGCUAGUCUCGGCUCUGGUGCAGCUGGCUUUGGGGGUGUCUGGAGCCUGUGGGUGGAUUGCCCAUCGUUGUGGCCCCAUGGUUCUGGCACCAAGCCUGUCUGUCAUUGGACUGUCGGCAUACAGGCCUGCUGCUCUUCUCUGCUCUGAGAACUGGGGAGUAGCUCUGCUGCUUGUGUCGCUGAGUGUUUUGCUAUCACAGCACCUCGCUUCUUGCCGGCUGCCCCUCUGCCAGUGGAGCCAAGACAAGGGACUCUCUCUUAGAAUGGGAGGCCCAGCUCUGCACAUGUUUUCAGUUCUGCUGCCAUUCUGUGGAAUCUGGCUCAUCUGUGGGAUUUUGAGACCUGCUCCAACCCCUUGGGACAUGUUACAUCCUUCUGCCCACCACAUGAUUCUUACCAAUGGCACCUUGCACUCCCCAUGGCUUAAGAUGCCUUACCCAGGUGAGCAGGGCUGGCCAGUGUUCAGUCCCCGUGCAGUGGGCAUCGGUGCUGCUAUGGGUCUCGCUGCAAGUGUGAAUUCUGUAGGCUGCUACUUGCUGUGUAGCAAGGCCCUCCGGGAUCCACCCCCACCGCAACAUUCAUGCAACAGAGGGCUCUGUUGCGAAGGCCUCGGCAGUCUCCUGUCUGCCGUGCUGGGGAGCAUAUCUGGAACCGCGUCCAGCAUGCCCAACGCUUGCGCUGGCAGCCUGACCCAGGCAACUUCGUUUCGCUCAGUGUGGGUCAGCGCAUUGGCAUGUGUAUUGCUGGGCCUGUCUCCCCGGCUUGUGAGACUCCUUACCACCAUUCCUCUGGGAAUUCAUGGAGGAGUGCUGUGUAUGACGUACAGCGUGGCCGUGGGCACUGGAGUCUCCUACUUCCAACACACAGACAUUGACUCAGGCAGGAACAUCUUCAUUGUGGGCUUCACCAUUUUCAUGGGAUUGCUGGUUCCAAAGUGGCUCUUCGCUGCGCCAGAGUCGCUGGCCACAGGUUGGGUUCCUGUGGAUCUCUUUCUCCUUUCUCUGUUGAUGGUUCCAGCCUUUAUUACUGGAUUCCUGUCUUUCUUCUUGGAAAACACAGUCUCGGGCACCCUGCAGGAGCGUGGUCUGCUCAGCCAUUCAUCAUCUUGCAAGCCAGAGACAGGGGACAAUUCUUGGCAGCAAAACAGCAAGGGUUCUGCCCAAAGAUAUGAGUUGCCUCCAGCCCUGAGGAAGCACCCGCCAUGCUCAAGGUGCAAGGGCUUUCCUCUCUGUCUGCUGUGUCCCCUUGAAAAAGACAAAGAAGAGAUGGUGAAUGUUCAUGGCCUGGAAGAAUUGUACCAUUCGGAAGGGGAAGCCACAGACCUUCUGCUGAACCAGGGAACAGUGAAGCUGGAGUCAGAAUUGGAGCCGGGGACAGAGCAGGAGCCUGGCAUUGCACGAGGAAAUUUGGAGAAUCAUGAAUGUGGCAAACAGGUAGCUCAAGAGACAAUGCCGCUGUGCUGAUCUUGGGAUACGUUUUGAAAUGCAGGCGCUCAUCAUACCAGUUCCUGUAGCCACCCCUCAAAGAGAGUCCAAACAUUCAGGCAGCUGGGCUGAUCCAUAUCAACAAACUGGUUCUAGGAGCUUUCAUCUCCUAGAAAAGGCAUUAUGUGAGGUUAAUGCAUUUAAGCUGCUCAUUUGAAACCAAGCCACUCCAAAAUACUUUGCAUUACCACAGGGAUACCUCCCAACAAGAAACUGCUGCUGCUGGGAAAAUGCCUUCUCCCCACAACCCCAAGUUAUUGUGAGAAUUGCAGCUAAGCUCAGGGGGAACAAGGAAGUCUUGCUAAUCAGAACAACAAGGCACUUCAACCCUGCAUGCCCUGGCUUCACUACACCACUGUCUGGAGGAGAGUCCUUAUUUGGACAGAAACAUUAUACAAGCACAGUUGGAUGAAUCUGCAUGGUGGAAGAAGGAAGGUUGACAUCCCAUGUAC
Molecule: RNA transcript, 2992 nt
Organism: Varanus komodoensis (Komodo dragon)
Lineage: Eukaryota; Metazoa; Chordata; Lepidosauria; Squamata; Varanidae
Gene: SLC23A3
Gene name: solute carrier family 23 member 3
Exons: 12
Source: RefSeq, a predicted model, not a curated record